UAUCCAAUUUGUAACUGAAUAUCUAGAGAUUUAUACAAUUUAUUUAUUCAUACAUAAGAAAAUUUUGCAAAAAAACAGCUUUAAUUAGAAAAUAGAAACAAAAUUGUAAUUGGCUACUGGAAACCCGUCGUAAAGCGAGCCUUAUAAACAACGUUAUAAAUUAAGAUUAUGUUCCUAAAAAUGAUUUUAAUUGUAUAAAUAUCACACAAGAUCGACAAACAAAGGAUUCAGAUUCUUAUAAGUUACAAUAGAAAAUUUAUACUAGUAAAAUCAAGGAAUAUAAGUCUACAGUCGUAAAGCAAGAAUAAAGUAUUUCACAAAUGUCACUGUUAUCAAAUAAGAACGAAUUUUCAAGAUCUGUUAUUUCAAAAUCUCUAUUCCCUUCCGGAAAGGAUAAGCCUGAAG
Molecule: long non-coding RNA, 405 nt
Organism: Centruroides sculpturatus (bark scorpion)
Lineage: Eukaryota; Metazoa; Arthropoda; Arachnida; Scorpiones; Buthidae
Exons: 3
Source: RefSeq, a predicted model, not a curated record